Non-coding RNA from Enterobacter sp. 638, 134 nucleotides. It matches the Rfam family "Salmonella enterica Typhi npcRNA 44". NCBI's taxonomy places the organism in Bacteria, Pseudomonadati, Pseudomonadota, Gammaproteobacteria, Enterobacterales, Enterobacteriaceae. The record is from Rfam.
CUUUAAAAAUCUGGAUCAAGCUGAAAAUUGAAACGACACACUGUGUCUGCUCUCCGUAAUAAGAGCAGAUAAGCGGUGUGUUCGAGUCUCUCAAAUUUUCGCAACACUGCGGGUGUUUUACGAAACAUCUUCGG